Non-coding RNA from Marmota monax (woodchuck), 443 nucleotides. The record is from the annotation of a RefSeq genome assembly. Lineage: Eukaryota; Metazoa; Chordata; Mammalia; Rodentia; Sciuridae.
GGCCCUCUGGGCUGUGGGAGCUCCCAGCUCUCUGCUCACACAGGGCUGAGGUCUCUGGGAAGGCAGGUGUGGUCUAGAAGAUGAGGCUGCUGGGUCUUGUCCUGUGCCUGGUCACAGCUCCCCAAGGUGUCCUAUGCCAAGUGCAGCUACAGGAGUCAGGACCUGGCCUGGUGAAGCCCUCACAGACCUUAUCCCUCACCUGUGCUGUCUCUGGAUUCUCCAUCUCGACUGGUAGUUAUGGUUGGCACUGGAUCCGUCAGCCCCCAGGGAAGGGGCUGGAGUGGAUAGGGGAGAUAUGUUAUAGUGGUAACACUAACUACAGCCCUUCACUCAAGAGCCGAGUGUCCAUCUCCAGAGACACGUCCAAGAACCAGUUCUCCCUGCAGCUGAGCUCCCUGACCACUGAGGACACAGCCACCUAUUACUGUGCCAGAGACACAGUG